This 1083-nucleotide ribosomal RNA is filed under the name Triticum aestivum (bread wheat). RNAcentral's name for it is "partial small subunit ribosomal RNA". The record is from RNAcentral. Lineage: Eukaryota; Viridiplantae; Streptophyta; Magnoliopsida; Poales; Poaceae.
AUGAGCCAUCAGAUCGAUCUGAAGACGAGCGCCUGCACCAUGGCCGCCGCCGGCGGCGACGACGACUGGGUGUACAUCGACGGUGACCAAGAGACGAAGGCUCCGGCUGUCGUAUGUGCCUCCGAUAGCCUCGACGAGUCGGAGCAUUGCGCAUUCGACUUGAAGCUACUUGCCGAUCUCGACUACCUCGCAAGGAAAAAGGAUUCCCGGAUCAGGAUGGAUGGGGCGACGGAGGUGGUGGCUGCCGCGGACGCUGCCGGUGAUGGCGCAGCGGAUGAGGCCGACGCCGCGGAAGAUGAAGACGACUGCCCUGGCUACUCCAACGGAGGCCGCCUCGAGAAAGACUACGAGUCGGACCAAGACCUCGGUCAAGUCGAGGACGAGUCCGAGCGGCAUGAGGAUGGGACGUCCGACCUGAGGCUGAGGGGACUGCUCGACAACCUCAAGACCAUCGAGAGUAAACUGCUCGACUGCCAGAGGGAACUGCUCGACUGCCAAAAGUCCAUCCAAGACCACCGCAAAGCUACACGCGACGAGUCCGCCCCCGCGCCGGCACCGGCGCCGUCAGCGCACGGCUACAACGCUCGCCCCGCAGCCUACAUAGCAGGACUCUCUGCCUCGUCGUACACCUCUUACGACGGCUACCGCAGCGGAGGUUACAGCACCAGCUCUGGCUAUGAUGCCAACGGCUACGGCGGCGGAGGUUAUGACGGCGGCCUCUCAGACUAUGACUACGGCGGCGGACGUGGAGGUUACUACCGCGGCAUCUCGGGCUAUGACUACGGCGGCCUAGGUUACUACUACUACCUCUUAGGCUAUGACUACGGCAUGGGCGGCAGAGGAGGUUACGGCAUCGGCUUUGGCCAUCGCUACGGUGGCGGCGGAGGCUACGGCGGCAUCUUGGACUAUGGAUAUCGCUAUGGCCGCAACGUAGGUCAUUACUUUGACUUUGACUACGGUGGCCUUGGAGAUAAUUACAGCGGCAGCUCUGGCAAUAGCUACGGUUACCGCCCUGAAGACUAUGGCGGCUGGAUGUUGUCCUUGGUCGUCACCGAUGCCCGAGGCGCCGGCGGCGGAGCCUGA